Molecule: ribosomal RNA, 360 nt
Filed under: uncultured bacterium
Lineage: Bacteria
Description: bacterial SSU rRNA
Rfam family: Bacterial small subunit ribosomal RNA
Source: RNAcentral
CUUUGGGAGCUUGCUCCCGAAGGUUAGCGGCGGACGGGUGAGUAACACGUGGGCAACCUGCCUAUAAGACUGGGAUAACUUCGGGAAACCGGAGCUAAUACCGGAUAAUUCUUUUCUACUCAUGUAGAAAAGCUAAAAGACGGUUUACGCUGUCACUUAUAGAUGGGCCCGCGGCGCAUUAGCUAGUUGGUGAGGUAACGGCUCACCAAGGCCACGAUGCGUAGCCGACCUGAGAGGGUGAUCGGCCACACUGGGACUGAGACACGGCCCAGACUCCUACGGGAGGCAGCAGUAGGGAAUCUUCCGCAAUGGACGAAAGUCUGACGGAGCAACGCUGCGUGAGUGAUGAAGGUUUUCGGA